RNAcentral lists this ribosomal RNA (468 nucleotides) under uncultured bacterium. Its description in RNAcentral is "partial 16S ribosomal RNA". It matches the Rfam family "Bacterial small subunit ribosomal RNA", at positions 28 to 507 of the family's 1533-position model. The record is from RNAcentral.
GACGAACGCUGGCGGCGUGCUUAACACAUGCAAGUCGAACGGAAAGGCCCUGCUUUUGUGGGGUGCUCGAGUGGCGAACGGGUGAGUAACAAGUGAGUAACCUGCCCUUGACUUUGGGAUAACUUCAGGAAACUGGGGCUAAUACCGGAUAGGAGCUCCUGCUGCAUGGUGGGGGUUGGAAAGUUUCGGCGGUUGGGGAUGGACUCGCGGCUUAUCAGCUUGUUGGUGGGGUAGUGGCUUACCAAGGCUUUGACGGGUAGCCGGCCUGAGAGGGUGACCGGCCACAUUGGGACUGAGAUACGGCCCAGACUCCUACGGGAGGCAGCAGUGGGGAAUAUUGCACAAUGGGCGGAAGCCUGAUGCAGCAACGCCGCGUGCGGGAUGACGGCCUUCGGGUUGUAAACCGCUUUCGCCUGUGACGAAGCGUGGGUGACGGUAAUGGGUAAAGAAGCACCGGCUAACUACGUG